GAUGAACGCUAGCGGCAGGCUUAAUACAUGCAAGUCGUGGGGCAGCGCAGUGUAGCAAAUACAUGGGCGGCGACCGGCAAAACGGGUGCGGAACACGUACACAACCUUCCUACAAGUGGGGAAUAGCCCAGAGAAAUUUGGAUUAAUACCCCGUAACAUAUAAAGAUGGCAUCAUUUUAUAUUAUAGCUACGGCGCUUGUUGAUGGGUGUGCGGCUGAUUAGGUAGUUGGCGGGGUAAUGGCCCACCAAGCCUGCGAUCAGUAGCUGAUGUGAGAGCAUGAUCAGCCACACGGGCACUGAGACACGGGCCCGACUCCUAC
Molecule: ribosomal RNA, 320 nt
Filed under: uncultured bacterium
Lineage: Bacteria
Description: bacterial SSU rRNA
Rfam family: Bacterial small subunit ribosomal RNA
Source: RNAcentral